UUUAGGGACGAUUACUUUGCCAAAAAAAAUGAAGAAAGAAAACAAAAUAAAGUGGAAGCUAAAUUAAGAGCUAAACAGGAGCAAGAAGCAAAACAAAAGUUAGAAGAAGAUGCUGAAAUGAAAUCUCUAGAAGAAAAGAUUGGAUGCUUGCUGAAAUUUUCGGGUGAUUUAGAUGAUCAGACCUGUAGAGAAGAUUUACACAUACUUUUCUCAAAUCAUGGUGAAAUAAAAUGGAUAGACUUCGUCAGAGGAGCAAAAGAGGUUUGGAAACAUCCCUAUCCUUUUUAGCAAUCAGUUUGAAAAUCUGUAGAAACUUAGACAAAAUUAGUAGAAAGUAAUUUUAAAAAUUGUGUUUAUUAGUUUCUACUUGAUCAUUUGUUAUUGUCACUAGAUGUGAUGUCUGAUAUUUUCUGAAUUAUACUAAAUUAGUUUGUA
This 435-nucleotide small RNA is filed under the name Pongo abelii (Sumatran orangutan). RNAcentral's name for it is "retained intron". Lineage: Eukaryota; Metazoa; Chordata; Mammalia; Primates; Hominidae. The record is from RNAcentral.